GGAAGAUCGUCGUCUCCGGUGAGGCGGCUGGAUUUCAAUCCAGCCGAAGCCAAAGUCCCGGGCAGGUUCGACUCUGUGAUUCCGCCA
Molecule: transfer RNA, 87 nt
Filed under: Providencia rettgeri
Lineage: Bacteria; Pseudomonadati; Pseudomonadota; Gammaproteobacteria; Enterobacterales; Morganellaceae
Description: tRNA-OTHER
Source: RNAcentral